UGUUUGUUUAUUGUUAUCAUUCUUAUAAGCUGCCGUUUAUUUCUUUAUUUAUAUUCAGAUGUAUUUAUAGAGCAACAGUCAUUGAUAUCUAACAAUGACCAAGAACACGAUGGAAUUAUUGAUGGCGUUGAAGACGCUUCUGUAGAACAACACACACUGGUACAUAAAGAUGAUAAAGAGUUGGAAGGAAUUAUUGAUGGCGUUGAAGAAACAGUUGUAGAACAAGCAUCACUGGUUUCUAAAGAUGCGGAAAAACAGAAAGAAAUUAUUGAAGGUACCAUUGAAAUUAUGCUGGUGUGUGUCAUUCCUAAAUGACAUUCAUUUCGACAUCGCUAAUAAGAUAUAGUAGAUACUCAAGUAUCUAGUUGAAGAGGUCCCUAAUUUGUUAAAUCUUUGUAGCGCAUAUAGU
Molecule: long non-coding RNA, 409 nt
Organism: Mytilus californianus (California mussel)
Lineage: Eukaryota; Metazoa; Mollusca; Bivalvia; Mytilida; Mytilidae
Exons: 3
Source: RefSeq, a predicted model, not a curated record